RNAcentral lists this ribosomal RNA (238 nucleotides) under uncultured bacterium. Its description in RNAcentral is "partial 16S ribosomal RNA". It matches the Rfam family "Bacterial small subunit ribosomal RNA", at positions 116 to 354 of the family's 1533-position model. The record is from RNAcentral.
CGUGGGGAACCUACCGUAUGCAGGGGGACAACAGUCAGAAAUGACUGCUAAUACCGCAUAAGCACACAAUGCUGCAUGGCAUGGUGUGAAAAGAUUUAUCGGCAUACGAUGGCCCCGCGUCUGAUUAGCCAGUUGGCAGGGUAACGGCCUACCAAAGCAACGAUCAGUAGCCGGCUUGAGAGAGUGACCGGCCACAUUGGGACUGAGACACGGCCCAGACUCCUACGGGAGGCAGCAG